RNAcentral lists this transfer RNA (77 nucleotides) under Burkholderiaceae bacterium. RNAcentral describes it as "tRNA-Asn". It matches the Rfam family "tRNA". Rfam says of the family: Transfer RNA (tRNA) molecules are approximately 80 nucleotides in length. Their secondary structure includes four short double-helical elements and three loops (D, anti-codon, and T loops). Lineage: Bacteria; Pseudomonadati; Pseudomonadota; Betaproteobacteria; Burkholderiales; Burkholderiaceae. The record is from RNAcentral.
UCCCUUGUAGCUCAGUUUGGUAGAGCGCCGCACUGUUAAUGCGGAUGUCACAUGUUCAAGUCAUGUCUGGGGAGCCA